RNAcentral lists this ribosomal RNA (439 nucleotides) under uncultured bacterium. RNAcentral describes it as "partial 16S ribosomal RNA". It matches the Rfam family "Bacterial small subunit ribosomal RNA", at positions 339 to 795 of the family's 1533-position model. The record is from RNAcentral.
CUACGGGUGGCAGCAGUGAGGAAUAUUGCACAAUGGGGGGAACCCUGAUGCAGCAACGCCGCGUGGAGGAUGACGCAUUUCGGUGUGUAAACUCCUUUUAUAUGUCAAGAAAAUGACGGUAGCAUAUGAAUAAGCACCGGCUAACUCCGUGCCAGCAGCCGCGGUAAUACGGAGGGUGCAAGCGUUACUCGGAAUCACUGGGCGUAAAGGACGGCGAGGCGGGUUGGAAAGUCAGGUGUGAAAUCCUACAGCUUAACUGUAGAACUGCACUUGAAACUUCUAAUCUAGAGUAUGGGAGGGGGAGAUGGAAUUAGUGGUGUAGGGGUAAAAUCCGUAGAUAUCACUAGGAAUACCUAAAGCGAAGGCGAUCUCCUGGAACAUUACUGACGCUAAGGCGUGAAAGCGUGGGGAGCAAACAGGAUUAGAUACCCCUGUAGUC